This 115-nucleotide small nuclear RNA is filed under the name Chelonoidis abingdonii (Abingdon island giant tortoise). Its description in RNAcentral is "U4 spliceosomal RNA (ENSCABG00000017181.1)". The stretch from base 1 to 77 matches the Rfam family "U4 spliceosomal RNA". From Rfam's summary of the family: U4 small nuclear RNA (U4 snRNA) is a component of the major U2-dependent spliceosome. The structure of U4 snRNA from yeast and human has been reported. Lineage: Eukaryota; Metazoa; Chordata; Testudines; Testudinidae. The record is from RNAcentral.
AGCUUUGCGCAGUGGCAGUAUCAUAACCAAUGAAGUUAAUCUGAGGUGUGAUUAUUGCUAGUUGAUAACUUAAGUUGGCACUGGCAGCAUAAAUGUUUGUCUGCUAAGGUCCUAC